GACGAACGCUGGCGGCGUGCUUAACACAUGCAAGUCGAACGGUAAGGCCCUUCGGGGUACACGAAUGGCGAACGGGUGAGUAACACGUGGGUGAUCUGCCCUGCACUUCGGGAUAAGCCUGGGAAACUGGGUCUAAUACCGGAUAGGACCAUUGCCUGCAUGGGUGGUGGUGGAAAGCUUUUGCGGUGUGGGAUGGGCCCGCGGCCUAUCAGCUUGUUGGCGGGGUGAUGGCCUACCAAGGCGACGACGGGUAGCCGGCCUGAGAGGGUGACCGGCCACACUGGGACUGAGAUACGGCCCAGACUCCUACGGGAGGCAGCAGUGGGGAAUAUUGCACAAUGGGCGCAAGCCUGAUGCAGCGACGCCGCGUGAGGGAUGACGGCCUUCGGGUUGUAAACCUCUUUCAGCACCGACGAAGCGCAAGUGACGGUAGGUGCAGAAGAAGGACCGGCCAACUACGUGCCAGCCGCCGCCGUAA
RNAcentral lists this ribosomal RNA (478 nucleotides) under uncultured bacterium. Its description in RNAcentral is "partial 16S ribosomal RNA". It matches the Rfam family "Bacterial small subunit ribosomal RNA", at positions 28 to 523 of the family's 1533-position model. The record is from RNAcentral.